UGGGGAAUUUUGGACAAUGGGCGAAAGCCUGAUCCAGCAAUGCCGCGUGUGUGAAGAAGGCCUUCGGGUUGUAAAGCACUUUUGUCCGGAAAGAAAUCCUUGGCUCUAAUACAGUCGGGGGAUGACGGUACCGGAAGAAUAAGCACCGGCUAACUACGUGCCAGCAGCCGCGGUAAUACGUAGGGUGCAAGCGUUAAUCGGAAUUACUGGGCGUAAAGCGUGCGCAGGCGGUUUGCUAAGACCGAUGUGAAAUCCCCGGGCUCAACCUGGGAACUGCAUUGGUGACUGGCAGGCUAGAGUAUGGCAGAGGGGGGUAGAAUUCCACGUGUAGCAGUGAAAUGCGUAGAGAUGUGGAGGAAUACCGAUGGCGAAGGCAGCCCCCUGGGCCAAUACUGACGCUCAUGCACGAAAGCGUGGGGAGCAAACAGGAUUAGAUACCCUGGUAGUCCACGCCCUAAACGAUGUCAACUAGCUGUUGGGGAUUCAUUUCCUUAGUAACGUAGCUAACGCGUGAGGUUGACCGCCUGGGGAGUACGGUCGCAAGAUUAAAACUCAAAGGAAUUGACGGGGUCAUAGCUGUUUCCU
RNAcentral lists this ribosomal RNA (585 nucleotides) under uncultured bacterium. RNAcentral's name for it is "partial 16S ribosomal RNA". It matches the Rfam family "Bacterial small subunit ribosomal RNA", at positions 355 to 1375 of the family's 1533-position model. The record is from RNAcentral.